ACGGCCAUACCAUGCUGAAUAUACACCGAAGUCAAGCAUCAUUGGGCGCGGUCAGUAGUUGGGUGGGUGACCACCUGGGAACACCGCGUGCCGUU
Caerostris extrusa is the source of this 95-nucleotide non-coding RNA. NCBI's taxonomy places the organism in Eukaryota, Metazoa, Arthropoda, Arachnida, Araneae, Araneidae. The record is from the annotation of a GenBank genome assembly.